UACGUAGGGACCAAGCGUUGUUCGGAAUUACUGGGCGUAAAGGGCUCGUAGGUGGCCAACUAAGUCAGACGUGAAAUCCCUCGGCUUAACCGGGGAACUGCGUCUGAUACUGGAUGGCUUGAGUUUGGGAGAGGGAUGCGGAAUUCCAGGUGUAGCGGUGAAAUGCGUAGAUAUCUGGAGGAACACCGGUGGCGAAGGCGGCAUCCUGGACCAAUACUGACACUGAGGAGCGAAAGCCAGGGGAGCAAACGGG
Molecule: ribosomal RNA, 253 nt
Filed under: uncultured bacterium
Lineage: Bacteria
Description: partial 16S ribosomal RNA
Rfam family: Bacterial small subunit ribosomal RNA
Source: RNAcentral